UACGUAGGGGGCAAGCGUUGUCCGGAUUUAUUGGGCGUAAAGCGCUCGCAGGUGGUUCGUCGCGUCGUGCGUGAAAGACCCCGGCUCAACUGGGGAGGGUCGUGCGAUACGGGCGAACUGGAGGCCAGUAGGGGGAUGCGGAAUUCCGGGUGUAGUGGUGGAAUGCGUAGAGAUCCGGAGGAACACCAGCGGCGAAGGCGGCAUCCUGGACUGGUCCUGACACUCAUGAGCGAAAGCGUGGGGAGCGAUCCGG
This 253-nucleotide ribosomal RNA is filed under the name uncultured bacterium. RNAcentral describes it as "partial 16S ribosomal RNA". It matches the Rfam family "Bacterial small subunit ribosomal RNA", at positions 524 to 776 of the family's 1533-position model. The record is from RNAcentral.